CCUACGGGCGGCAGCAGUGAGGAAUAUUGGUCAAUGGACGAGAGUCUGAACCAGCCAAGUAGCGUGAAGGAUGACUGCCCUAUGGGUUGUAAACUUCUUUUAUAUGGGAAUAAAACGUUCCACGUGUGGGAUUUUGUAUGUACCAUAUGAAUAAGGAUCGGCUAACUCCGUGCCAGCAGCCGCGGUAAGACGGAGGAUCCGAGCGUUAUCCGGAUUUAUUGGGUUUAAAGGGAGCGUAGGUGGAUUGUUAAGUCAGUUGUGAAAGUUUGCGGCUCAACCGUAAAAUUGCAGUUGAAACUGGCAGUCUUGAGUACAGUAGAGGUGGGCGGAAUUCGUGGUGUAGCGGUGAAAUGCUUAGAUAUCACGAAGAACUCCGAUUGCGAAGGCAGUUCACUGGACUGCAACUGACACUGAGGCUCGAAAGUGUGGGUAUCAAACAGGAUUAGAUACCCCGGUAGUC
This 460-nucleotide ribosomal RNA is filed under the name uncultured bacterium. RNAcentral's name for it is "partial 16S ribosomal RNA". It matches the Rfam family "Bacterial small subunit ribosomal RNA", at positions 338 to 795 of the family's 1533-position model. The record is from RNAcentral.